GUGGCUGUGGCUCAGCGGUAGAGUGCUUGCCUAGCAUGAACGAGAGGCUGGGUUCGAUCCUCAGCACCACA
This 71-nucleotide transfer RNA is filed under the name Marmota monax (woodchuck). Its description in RNAcentral is "tRNA.Ala". Lineage: Eukaryota; Metazoa; Chordata; Mammalia; Rodentia; Sciuridae. The record is from RNAcentral.